Molecule: ribosomal RNA, 460 nt
Filed under: uncultured bacterium
Lineage: Bacteria
Description: partial 16S ribosomal RNA
Rfam family: Bacterial small subunit ribosomal RNA
Source: RNAcentral
CCUACGGGCGGCAGCAGUGAGGAAUAUUGGUCAAUGGGCGGGAGCCUGAACCAGCCAAGUCGCGUGAGGGACGACGGUCCUAUGGAUUGUAAACCUCUUUUGUCGGGGAACAAACGCCCCCACGGGUGGGCGGAUGAGUGUAUCCGAAGAAAAAGCAUCGGCUAACUCCGUGCCAGCAGCCGCGGUAAUACGGAGGAUGCGAGCGUUAUCCGGAUUUAUUGGGUUUAAAGGGUGCGUAGGCGGACCGUUAAGUUAGCGGUGAAAAUGCGGUGCUCAACACCGGAAAGGCCUUUGAAACUGGCAGUCUUGAGAGGACGUGCGGUAUGCGGAAUGUGUGGUGUAGCGGUGAAAUGCAUAGAGAUCAUGCAGAACACCGAUUGCGAAGGCAGCAUACCGGCGCCCGACUGACGCUGAGGCACGAAAGCGUGGGUAGCGAACAGGAUUAGAUACCCGGGUAGUC